This 88-nucleotide ribosomal RNA is filed under the name Acetobacterium tundrae. Lineage: Bacteria; Bacillati; Bacillota; Clostridia; Eubacteriales; Eubacteriaceae. The record is from RNAcentral.
UCUCGCGACGAUGGCGGAAGGGCUACACCUGUUCCCAUACCGAACACAGAAGUAAAGUCUUCCAGCGCCGAAAGUACUUGGUGGGUAA